UGGGGAAUAUUGCACAAUGGGCGCAAGCCUGAUGCAGCCAUGCCGCGUGUAUGAAGAAGGCCUUCGGGUUGUAAAGUACUUUCAGCGGGGAGGAAGGCGAUAAGGUUAAUAACCUUGUCGAUUGACGUUACCCGCAGAAGAAGCACCGGCUAACUCCGUGCCAGCAGCCGCGGUAAUACGGAGGGUGCAAGCGGUAAUCGGAAUUACUGGGCGUAAAGCGCACGCAGGCGGUCAGUCAAGUCGGAUGUGAAAUCCCCGGGCUCAACCUGGGAACUGCAUUCGAAACUGGCAGGCUAGAGUCUUGUAGAGGGGGGUAGAAUUCCAGGUGUAGCGGUGAAAUGCGUAGAGAUCUGGAGGAAUACCGGUGGCGAAGGCGGCCCCCUGGACAAAGACUGACGCUCAGGUGCGAAAGCGUGGGGAGCAAACA
This 427-nucleotide ribosomal RNA is filed under the name uncultured bacterium. RNAcentral describes it as "partial 16S ribosomal RNA". It matches the Rfam family "Bacterial small subunit ribosomal RNA", at positions 355 to 774 of the family's 1533-position model. The record is from RNAcentral.